CGGUAAUACGUAGGGUGCAAGCGUUAUCCGGAAUUAUUGGGCGUAAAGAGCUCGUAGGCGGUCUGUCGCGUCUGCUGUGAAAUCCCGAGGCUCAACCUCGGGCUUGCAGUGGGUACGGGCAGACUAGAGUGCGGUAGGGGAGAUUGGAAUUCCUGGGGUAGCGGUGGAAUGCGCAGAUAUCAGGAGGAACACCGAUGGCGAAGGCAGAUCUCUGGGCCGUAACUGACGCUGAGGAGCGAAAGGGUGGGGAGCAAACAGGCUUAGAUACCCUGGUAGUCCACCCCGUAAACGUUGGGAACUAGUUGUGGGGUCCUUUCCACGGAUUCCGUGACGCAGCUAACGCAUUAAGUUCCCCGCCUGGGGAGUACGC
This 370-nucleotide ribosomal RNA is filed under the name Microbacterium esteraromaticum. RNAcentral describes it as "bacterial SSU rRNA". It matches the Rfam family "Bacterial small subunit ribosomal RNA", at positions 518 to 885 of the family's 1533-position model. Lineage: Bacteria; Bacillati; Actinomycetota; Actinomycetes; Micrococcales; Microbacteriaceae. The record is from RNAcentral.